GAUGAACGCUAGCGACAGGCUUAACACAUGCAAGUCGAGGGGCAGCAGGGGAGUAGCAAUACUCCCGCUGGCGACCGGCGCACGGGUGAGUAACACGUAUGCAACCUGCCCUUGUCAGGGGGAUAAGCGGAAGAAAUUCCGUCUAAUACCGCAUAAUGCUGCGGGGAGACAUCUCCCUGCAGCCAAAGAUUUAUCGGACAAGGAUGGGCAUGCGGCGCAUUAGCUGGUUGGCGGGGUAACGGCCCACCAAGGCGACGAUGCGUAGGGGUUCUGAGAGGAAGGUCCCCCACACUGGUACUGAGACACGGACCAGACUCCUACGGGAGGCAGCAGUGAGGAAUAUUGGUCAAUGGCCGGGAGGCUGAACCAGCCAAGUCGCGUGAGGGAAGACGGUCCUAUGGAUUGUAAACCUCUUUUGUCAGGGAGCAAAAACUGCCACGCGUGGCAGGAUGAGAGUACCUGAAGAAAAAGCAUCGGCUAACUCCGUGCCAGCAGCCGCGGUAAUACGGAGGAUGCGAGCGUUAUCCGGAUUUAUUGGGUUUAAAGGGUGCGUAGGCGGACAGUUAAGUCGGCGGUAAAAUUGAGAGGCUCAACCUCUUCCCGCCGUUGAAACUGAUUGUCUUGAGUGGGCGAGAAGUAUGCGGAAUGCGUGGUGUAGCGGUGAAAUGCAUAGAUAUCACGCAGAACUCCGAUUGCGAAGGCAGCAUACCGGCGCCCAACUGACGCUGAAGCACGAAAGCGUGGGUAUCGAACAGGAUUAGAUACUCUGGUAGUCCACGCAGUAAACGAUGAAUACUAAUUGUUCGGGUCAAAUGAGAUCUGAGUGAUACAGCGAAAGCGUUAAGUAUUCCACCUGGGGAGUACGCCGGCAACGGUGAAACUCAAAGGAAUUGACGGGGGCCCGCACAAGCGGAGGAACAUGUGGUUUAAUUCGAUGAUACGCGAGGAACCUUACCCGGGCUCAAACGACACAGGAAUGAUCUGAGAAAUCAGGCAGUCCUCCGGGACCUGUGUCGAGGUGCUGCAUGGUUGUCGUCAGCUCGUGCCGUGAGGUGUCGGCUUAAGUGCCAUAACGAGCGCAACCCCCAUCGACAGUUGCCAGCAGGUGAAGCUGGGCACUCUGUCGAGACUGCCGGCGCAAGCUGUGAGGAAGGCGGGGAUGACGUCAAAUCAGCACGGCCCUUACGUCCGGGGCGACACACGUGUUACAAUGGCAGGUACAGCGGGAAGCCACCUGGCGACAGGGAGCGGAACCCGAAAGCCUGUCUCAGUUCGGAUUGGAGUCUGCAACUCGACUCCAUGAAGCUGGAUUCGUUAGUAAUCGCGCAUCAGCCACGGCGCGGUGAAUACGUUCCCGGGCCU
This 1362-nucleotide ribosomal RNA is filed under the name uncultured bacterium. RNAcentral describes it as "16S ribosomal RNA". It matches the Rfam family "Bacterial small subunit ribosomal RNA", at positions 28 to 1381 of the family's 1533-position model. The record is from RNAcentral.